RNAcentral lists this ribosomal RNA (253 nucleotides) under uncultured bacterium. RNAcentral describes it as "partial 16S ribosomal RNA". It matches the Rfam family "Bacterial small subunit ribosomal RNA", at positions 524 to 776 of the family's 1533-position model. The record is from RNAcentral.
UACAGAGACGGCAAGCGUUAUUCGGAUUCACUGGGCGUAAAGGGUGCGCAGGCGGCCGAGUGUGUGAGGCGUGAAAGCCCGGGGCUUAACCCCGGAAUUGCACCUCAAACUACACGGCUAGAGCAUUGGAGAGGGUAGCAGAAUUCAUGGUGUAGCAGUGAAAUGCGUAGAUAUCAUGAGGAAUACCAGAGGCGAAGGCGGCUACCUGGACAAUUGCUGACGCUCAGGCACGAAAGCGUGGGGAGCAAAAGGG